RNAcentral lists this ribosomal RNA (273 nucleotides) under uncultured bacterium. Its description in RNAcentral is "partial small subunit ribosomal RNA". It matches the Rfam family "Bacterial small subunit ribosomal RNA", at positions 26 to 285 of the family's 1533-position model. The record is from RNAcentral.
AGAAUCAACGCUGGCGGCGUGCCUAACACAUGCAAGUCGAACGCGAAAGUCCCGAAAGGGGCAAGUAGAGUGGCAAACGGGUGAGUAACGCGUGGGCGACCUGCCUUCGAGCGGGGGAUAACGUUCGAAAGGAACGCUAAUACCGCAUAACAUCCUGCCUUUGAAUAGGUGGAGAUCAAAGCUGGGGAUUCGCAAGAACCCGGCACUUGAAGAGGGGCCCGCGUCUGAUUAGCUAGUUAGUGAGGUAACGGCUCACCAGGGCAACGAUCAGUA